ACAUGGCGGCAGACUAGACGCACAGGUCAAGGAUUUUUUAAGGAUUCAGGCAAAUUUGAGGUUUUCUGCACACUAGAAAUCAUCGUCGAAUGGAUCUGUAAGAUUCCGUUGGCAUUAUAUUAGCGAGAGCCAGUAGUAGAGGACAGAGUCUAUUAUUUCGUUAUCCAUAUUUACCGCCUUCCCGGACUGAAGGGAGAGAAAAAGAAAUCCCCAAGAAUCGUUUCGCCUUGGGUAAAUUUGUCUCUUCUAUUUGCUUAUUAUCAUAUGGGGGAUUGAACACAGGGUUCAUAUGGGUCCUGGAAAACCUGCAAAGUCCUGGAAUUCUGCUUUGACAUUUUCCAAGUCUGGAAAGUCCUGGAAAAAGACUACAGGUCCCAGAAAAUCCUGGAAAUCUGCUUAACUCAAGCAAUAAAGUUUUCAGAAUGUACAUUAAAAGAAGUGAUUGUAAGACUCUAGGGAGAAUUGAUUUUGAAAUUGUGGGAGUGAGAGGGUGUAAGGUGAAAUUUGGAGUCCUGGAAAAUCCAUCUGAGUCUUAAAAAAGUCCUGAAAAAGUGCGUAAAAUUUCUUUCUUAAAAAGGGUAUGAACCCUGUGAACACCAUGCAGAAGGGUGGAUAAGAUUUAAAUAUCAUGCUCUUAAUUUUUUGUUUCCUUCAUAAUGGUAAAUUUUCAAAGUCCUUUUAAUUUUAAGCCUAUGAAAUUGGCAUGGCUAUGCAAAAUACCCAAUAAGUAGCAUAUGUUAAAUUAUCAUUACCACAUCUGACUGUGCUAAGAUGAUUCUAAGGUUUGGUAAACUGCCAAAAAACUGCAUAGGAAUUUUGUAUCUAUUGGAAUUCUAUCAUCGUAUGCAUUACCUACAUUUCAGAAAUUUUUCUGGAAUCAAAGAUGGUUAUCUCAUUGGGUGAGUUCAAUAUGAUUUUAAAUAAUUUGAGAUCAUUGAGAUAAAACUGAUUUUAGUUACCAUUACAAGUACAGAAAGGGAUACAGGUGUAAUGGUCUAAUUUUGCACCCUUCGGUAUUUUUCUUAUGGCUAAUUUAGAGGACAUUUACCAGUUGAAUAAAUUUUCUGAAGUUUGCAAGUCAACUGUUUCACAGUAUUGUGGAUAACCUUGUCAUUAUCAUUGUCACAUUUACCCCCAUUGUCCACUGAGCUUAACAUGAAAAGAUGAUAACCUCCCUAUGUAUUAAAUGAAGAAUUGAAAUCCUGUCUUCUAAUUACUCAAAGGCUCUUAACUCCCAACCAACAUUUACAUGAUUAAUGGCUAGUCCCUUUUAUACAAAGUGUUCAUGUUAGUUGUCGUGGUUAUGAAAUCAUUUUUCGUUUCCCAAGGAAUCAUUCUUGUACUUACUGCACUGGCCAUGGUGUAAUGUGUAAUGUAAAGAAGCUGAACUUCAUCUGAUUUUGGAGUAUAAAUCAAAAUUAAUGGCAAUAAAAGUCUACUUUAUAACAUG
Molecule: long non-coding RNA, 1450 nt
Organism: Pocillopora damicornis (cauliflower coral)
Lineage: Eukaryota; Metazoa; Cnidaria; Anthozoa; Scleractinia; Pocilloporidae
Source: RefSeq, a predicted model, not a curated record